UAUCACCUGACAGCAGG
Molecule: ribosomal RNA, 17 nt
Filed under: Phytophthora cinnamomi
Lineage: Eukaryota; Oomycota; Peronosporomycetes; Peronosporales; Peronosporaceae
Description: partial 28S ribosomal RNA
Source: RNAcentral